Molecule: non-coding RNA, 207 nt
Organism: Paramuricea clavata
Lineage: Eukaryota; Metazoa; Cnidaria; Anthozoa; Malacalcyonacea; Plexauridae
Source: the annotation of a GenBank genome assembly
CAAAAUUAUAUAAUAUAAGCCCCCCUCCCCCUCUCUAUCUCUCUUAAGCCCCAAUUUCCAAGGUGCUGGAAAAACUAAGCCCCCCCCCCCCAGGGGCUUAAUAGAGAGUUGAGAAAUUUAGGGCACAUGGUUUUCUUAAAGAAAUGGUGUCAAGCUCUCCAACUGGAUUUCAUCCAUCACUACAAAAUUGUGGUUUUUCCUAACUGC